CGUCUAAGUACUCGCCUUGUCUAUUAAAGUGAAACCGCGAAUGGCUCAUUAAAUCAGUUAUGGUUCACUAGAUCGUACCUCAUCCUACUCGGAUAACUGUGGUAAUUCUAGAGCUAAUACAUGCAACUAGGCCCUGCCCGGCCGCCUUCACGGGUGGUCGGAAAGGGCGCCAUUAUCAGCCCAAAACCGACCGGGUUGCCCCUUGGGGCUCCCGUCCUUAUACCCUUUGACGACUCUGGAUAACCUUCUAGCGGAUCGCCGGUAAACUAGGUCGGCCGGGCGGUGACGUCCGCGUCCGACUUACGGCGACUAGUCUUUCGAAUGUCUGCCUUAUCAACUGUCGACGGUAGGUUAGACGCCUACCGUGGUCGUAACGGGUGACGGGGAAUCAGGGUUCGAUUCCGGAGAGGGAGCCUGAGAAACGGCUACCACAUCCAAGGAAGGCAGCAGGCACGCAAAUUACCCAAUCCCUGCACGGGGAGGUAGUGACGAAAAAUAACGAUACGGGACUCUUAACGAGGCCUCGUAAUCGGAAUGAGUCCGCUCUAAAUCCUUUAACGAGGAUCUAUCGGAGGGCAAGUCUGGUGCCAGCAGCCGCGGUAAUUCCAGCUCCGAUAGCGUAUAUUAAAGUUGCUGCGGUUAAAAAGCUCGUAGUUGGAUUUGGGUUUUCGGGCCGGCGGGCCGCCGCCUUNNNNNNNNNNNNNNNNNNCCGCGCCCCCGGAACCGCACGGUCGCAGAGGCCCCCCGCGGUGCUCUUGAGUGAGUGUCCGCGGUCUCGGGUCGCCGAACGUUUACUUUGAAAAAAUUAGAGUGCUCCAGGCAGGCCGGUAAAGCGUUUUUAAACCCGCGCCUGAAUAGUCACGCAUGGAAUAAUGAAAGAGGACUGGUGGUCCUAUUUUGUUGGUUUUCGGGAUUUUCCGCCGUCAUGAUUAAGAGGGACGGCCGGGGGCAUUUGUACCGCGGCGCGAGAGGUGAAAUUCUAGGACCGUCGCGAGACGAACCGUUGCGAAAGCAUUUGCCAAGAAUGUUUUCCUUAAUCAAGAACGAAAGUCAGAGGUUCGAAGGCGAUCAGAUACCGCCCUAGUUCUGACCGUAAACGAUGCCACCUGACGAUCCGCCAGGGUUACUACCAUGACUCGGCGGGCAGCCCCCGGGAAACCCAAGCCUUCGGGUUCCGGGGGAAGUAUGGUUGCAAAGCUGAAACUUAAAGGAAUUGACGGAAGGGCACCACCAGGAGUGGAGCCUGCGGCUUAAUUUGACUCAACACGGGGAACCUCACCCGGCCCGGACACCGCGAGGAUUGACAGAUUGAGAGCU
This 1317-nucleotide ribosomal RNA is filed under the name Peripatoides sp. NZAC03005940. RNAcentral's name for it is "SSU rRNA". It matches the Rfam family "Eukaryotic small subunit ribosomal RNA", at positions 56 to 1256 of the family's 1831-position model. The record is from RNAcentral. Lineage: Eukaryota; Metazoa; Onychophora; Udeonychophora; Euonychophora; Peripatopsidae.